This 28-nucleotide non-coding RNA is filed under the name Mus musculus (house mouse). Lineage: Eukaryota; Metazoa; Chordata; Mammalia; Rodentia; Muridae. The record is from RNAcentral.
GAAGUCAGGAUGGCUGUUUUCUCUUGUG